AGAAUCAACGCUGGCGGCGUGCCUAACACAUGCAAGUCGAGCGAGAAAGGGUAGCAAUACCUGAGUAAAGCGGCGCACGGGUGAGUAACACGUGGAUAACCUGCCUCGAAGUGGGGGAUAACACCGGGAAACCGGUGCUAAUACCGCAUACCCUGACGAGAUCUGCGGAUUUUGUCAGUAAAGGAGCAAUUCGCUUUGAGAGGGGUCCGCGGCUGAUUAGCUAGUUGGUGAGGUAAUGGCUCACCAAGGCAUCGAUCAGUAGCCGGUCUGAGAGGACGGUCGGCCACACUGGAACUGAGACACGGUCCAGACUCCUACGGGAGGCAGCAGUGGGGAAUUUUGGCAAUGGGGAAACCCUGACCAAGCAACGCCGCGUGGAUGAUGAAGUAUCUUGGUACGUAAAUCCUUUCGACGGGGACGAAACCGCAAGGUUGACGGUACCGUAGAAGAAGCCCGGCUAACUCCGUGCCAGCAGCCGC
RNAcentral lists this ribosomal RNA (479 nucleotides) under uncultured bacterium. RNAcentral's name for it is "SSU rRNA". It matches the Rfam family "Bacterial small subunit ribosomal RNA", at positions 26 to 518 of the family's 1533-position model. The record is from RNAcentral.